UAAUACGGAGGGAGCUAGCGUUGUUCGGAAUUACUGGGCGUAAAGCGUGCGUAGGCGGCGAUUCAAGUCAGAGGUGAAAGCCUGGAGCUCAACUCCAGAACUGCCUUUGAAACUAGAUCGCUAGAAUCUUGGAGAGGUCAGUGGAAUUCCGAGUGUAGAGGUGAAAUUCGUAGAUAUUCGGAAGAACACCAGUGGCGAAGGCGACUGACUGGACAAGUAUUGACGCUGAGGUACGAAAGCGUGGGGAGCAAACAGG
This 256-nucleotide ribosomal RNA is filed under the name uncultured bacterium. Its description in RNAcentral is "partial 16S ribosomal RNA". It matches the Rfam family "Bacterial small subunit ribosomal RNA", at positions 521 to 776 of the family's 1533-position model. The record is from RNAcentral.